UCGUAACAAGGUCUCCGUUGGUGAACCAGCGGAGGGAUCAUUACUGAGUUAUCUAAACUCCCAACCCUUUGUGAACCUUACCGUCGUUGCCUCGGCGGGCUGUGCUUACCCGGUAGCUACCCUGUAGCUACCCGGUAGGUACGCUACAAGCCCGCCGGUGGACCACUAAACUCUGUUUUAAUACCGAAUCUCUGAAUGCUUCAACUUAAUAAGUUAAAACUUUCAACAACGGAUCUCUUGGUUCUGGCAUCGAUGAAGAACGCAGCGAAAUGCGAUAAGUAAUGUGAAUUGCAGAAUUCAGUGAAUCAUCGAAUCUUUGAACGCACAUUGCGCCCAUUAGUAUUCUAGUGGGCAUGCCUAUUCGAGCGUCAUUUCAACCCUUAAGCCUAGCUGCUUAGUGUUGGGAAUCUGCCCUGUUUUUUUACAGCGCAGUUCCUUAAAGUGAUUGGCGGAGUUAGGGCAUACUCUAAGCGUAGUAAUAUUUCUUCUCGCUUCUGUAGUUGUCCUGACGGCUUGCCGUUAAACCCCUAUAUUUCUAGUGGUUGACCUCGGAUUAGGUAGGAAUACCCGCUGAACUUAAGCAUAUCGCAAAAGAAACCAACAGGGAUUGCCCUAGUAACGGCGAGUGAAGCGGCAACAGCUCAAAUUUGAAAUCUGGCCCUAGCGGUCCGAGUUGUAAUUUGUAGAGGAUGCUUUUGGUUAGGUGCCUUCCGAGUUCCCUGGAACGGGACGCCAGAGAGGGUGAGAGCCCCGUACGGUUGGACACCGAGCCUCUAUAUAGCUCCUUCGACGAGUCGAGUAGUUUGGGAAUGCUGCUCUAAAUGGGAGGUAAAUUUCUUCUAAAGCUAAAUACCGGCCAGAGACCGAUAGCGCACAAGUAGAGUGAUCGAAAGAUGAAAAGUACUUUGAAAAGAGGGUUAAAUAGCACGUGAAAUUGUUGAAAGGGAAGCGUUUGCGACCAGACUUUUUCCAGGCGGAUCAUCCGGUGUUCUCACCGGUGCACUUCGCCUGGUUUAGGCCAGCAUCGGUUCUCUUAGGGGGAUAAAGGCUUGGGGAACGUGGCUCCUUCGGGAGUGUUAUAGCCCCUUGCGUAAUACCCUUCGGGGGACCGAGGAACGCGCAUCUGCAAGGAUGCUGGCGUAAUGGUCGUCAACGACCC
This 1159-nucleotide ribosomal RNA is filed under the name Daldinia sp. CHTAE21. RNAcentral describes it as "eukaryotic LSU rRNA". The stretch from base 544 to 1159 matches the Rfam family "Eukaryotic large subunit ribosomal RNA", at positions 1 to 650 of the family's 3401-position model. The record is from RNAcentral. Lineage: Eukaryota; Fungi; Ascomycota; Sordariomycetes; Xylariales; Hypoxylaceae.